CAUCGGUGUGGGUAGGCUGCAAACGAGGUGCUGCUGCUGCUGCUGCUGCUUAUUGCAGCACCACCGCUACUACCCUUGACAACAGCAACAGGAGAGUUGCUGCUCCUGCUGGCUUCCCGGAAAUCCGAAGGCAGUGGACCCUACUGGAAGCAGACAGCAAAAUGGGCGCCCUUUGUGUCGACUUCGGUAGCCAAUGAGAGAACAGAGAAGGCAACAGUAAUGUAGUGUGUUGAGGCCUCUGAUUGGCCCAGGAGCUCUUCCUUACGUCACAGAAGUUCAGUCUGAAAACUCCGGAGUAGUUCUAGACUUGGGAGUCAGAGGAACGUCUCAUUCGGUUGUUCCGUUAUUGAAGCUCAAUUGAAGAUCUCGUCUACAUGUUGAUCCCGAGUCUCCAUUGGAAAGAGAGUGAUGAAUUUAAAAAGGGGGUUUCCAAUCCUUGGAUUUCCUAGUUAAAACGAUAAGCAAUUUGUCAAUUAGUUCAUCUAGUGGUGGUCUAACAAGAUGAUAAGUCUUGUCUCCAGAAACUUUUGAAGGAGAAAAUUAGGAAUUACGAAGUGACCGUAGUUGGACAUACUAGGAUGAUCAGGGGUUGUACAGUGAAAUUUAUUACCUGCAAUAAUUCAUAAAAUGGUGGUUAACUGUUUGUCCACCUGUUUAUUCUGUGCUACUACAAUUAUACCAUUUGCAGUUCCUCCUACAUAGAUUCUGUAGUAAGCGAAAUAAGGCAAACAAUAUUUGCAGUUUUAUAUCUUUUUGGUUUAUACUGUGCUACCACCAUACCAUUUAGUUCCUCUUACGUACAUUCUGUAUUAAGUGAAAUACAGCAACUUUUCUUUUUAAUCUGCUGGCAGAAAUUUAGUUCAGCAGCCCUGGUUACUGGCUUUACUUGCAACAAUAAUCACCUUUCCCCACAAAACUUGAAGACUUGUACCUCCAGCACCCUAGCACUGGGAUGUAAUCUGAAUAAAAAAAAAUUCAGAAUCAUAUGAUAUAAAACAUUUUUCAUUAACUUUUUUAACAAGGCCUCUUUUAUUUUUUUAUUUUUUACUUUUUCAACAAGAUAGAAAUAUCUACAAACCUGAGGCCUUAGUUAGGUAUAAGCAAAUUCUUCGUUUGAAGAAGAUAUAUGGUUUGUGUAGGAACAAGAAUAGUGAAUAAUGUUCAAAAUCUAGAAAUUGAAACUAUAAGAGAAACCUUGAAGAGGUUAAAAUCUACUACCAUACGUGAAUAUUGAAUUUUCCAAUAUAAGUUAAACUUCAAAAACUAGGCAUAACUAAGAAUUGUUCCUUUUCUAAAACUCUAGGUAACAAGUAAUUACCAAACUACCCCGUUGACCGUGUUCCUUUUCACAAACUACAGUAGUACCUCGUAUUUCGAAGGCUGUUCGAAGUAUGAUUUGUUCGAUUGUUCGAAAUAUGAAACAAAUAUCCCUAUAAGAAAUAAAGGGAAUCAGGAUAAUUCGUUCCGGCUAACCCAAAAAGUCCCCCCUUUCAGAUUUUUUCUAUUAAUGUGUUCAAAAGUCAAAUCAAGAGUGUAAUGAAACAUUACGUUAUAUGAAGUAAAAUUUUCUAAAUUUUAUUUUUUCUGGGUACGAUUUACGAACUGUUUGGUAAAAUGGGCACCGGCGGCAGGGGGAUGGAGGGAGGAGAGACGGGAACCCUUUUGAGCAAACCGAAUUGAUUGCAGUAUGCAAAGGUUGAUAACAAAAUACAUUUUAUUCACAUUAGGUACAAAGAUAAUUAAAAGAAUCGAUAGUGUGUGUGUCCGAUUGUGUCUGAGAGGCAGAGAGUAAUCAGCUGUUUACACUUGGUUCUUAAGUGCACGAAAUAGAUUAAUUAUGCCACAAUACAUCAACUUACCGUUGGCAAACGGCAGACUUCUAAAACAAACAUGAGGAUUUUACAAACAAAUAAGUAAUAAGUCAAGAAUGCAAGAAAAAGAAAAAAUAAAAACUUUUCUCAAGGAAGCCGUUAAAACAAACUAUCUAAGGCAUGCAGAAGCUGAAAGCGGCGCCAGUAUGUUUAUUACAGAGCUGAGUUACAGUUACAGGAGUAAAAAUAUCGUAAAAAGCAAUUAUCACUAGAUUGGUAUUUUAUCGUAACAAAAAUAAAAGUGAUUUGGGGAGAUCGAGAGUAAGUGAAAGAA
Molecule: long non-coding RNA, 2145 nt
Organism: Macrobrachium nipponense
Lineage: Eukaryota; Metazoa; Arthropoda; Malacostraca; Decapoda; Palaemonidae
Exons: 3
Source: RefSeq, a predicted model, not a curated record